Molecule: non-coding RNA, 783 nt
Organism: Paramuricea clavata
Lineage: Eukaryota; Metazoa; Cnidaria; Anthozoa; Malacalcyonacea; Plexauridae
Source: the annotation of a GenBank genome assembly
AAGUAUUAAUAUUUACAAGAGAAUAAAUAGAAACAAAGAAAAAACUAUUUACAAAAGUGCAUGCUGAAUAACAGAGUCAAAGAUUAAUAAUUGACCCACAGACACGCGUGUCCGUGGGUCAGAUUUGGUUUUACGAAAAAAAUAGGCAGUUUAUCUGAAGGUAGUUCCAGUUAUAUUCAUUUCACUGACUGACUCACACUACGCAUUUGAUUGGUUAAUCGGGUAGAUUGAACGCAUCUGAUUGGUUAAUGGUAGCGGAAGUCAAAUCUGAACCUCAAUUACAAUCAAUAAUAGAAAAUAUUUACAAGAACAGGGUUAGGAAUUUUCUAAAAACCAUAAGGUUUUUAUUUAAAGUUCCUAGGUUAUAAAUUUAAACUGGUUAAUAAAAUAAAUAAGAGAAAAAAAAGAUAUAGAGAAAUGUAUAAAUAGCGAUAAUCGCCGCAUUUUCAAAAAAGGCCCUGGGAACCAGGUUGUACGUAAGUUUUAAAAAUAAGUUCUGAAGUGGAAUAAGAUAAGUUUUAAGAAAAAAAAUGUAGAACAUAGUCAUAAUUUAUUGUCAAUAUGAUUUUAUUUGGUUGAAUCUAAAUGAAGAAAGUACUUUUUUUUUGUUUAAUACUUACAUAGAUCCAAGUGUUGAGUAGUUAUAAAUAAAUUUGUCCAGCUCUAAAACUAACUCUUGACGAAGGGCCUUCGCUCGAAACGUCGAGUUUCUGCUUGUUUUUUAAGGUAGUAAUAUAACCACUCAGCACAGCAUUUUCACAUUGAUACUACCUACACUGGUAC